UAUAUAACUUCUUAGUAUUUUUAUCAUUGUAAUGUGUAUAUGUAACUCCAUUAUGGGGAAUAUGGUCAUGAUGUUUAUCAACAUUUUACGGCCGUGAGUCCUAUUUUGCUUAUCAGCUCAUGGUAUUGAUCCUUAUAACCUAAAAUGCUGUAUUACAGAAAGACAUUUUAUUUAGGAAUUUUUAAGUAUAUAUACUUUUGAAAAAUACAAAUAUGAUUUCAAUAACAAUGAAACAAAAAGCAUUGUUUAAUCUCAUAUUCAAAUCUGAUAUAAUGUGUUCAUUGCUGGGUGCCUCCUCUCUAGAGGAAGUUUUUAUUUAACAAUUGAUUGCAUCAUGAGAACUGGUAUAUGAGAUUACAAGUGUGGCAUUUAAUAACACAUUUCUAUUUUCUUUGAACCCAACAACUAGUUUUCCAACUCCUGGGCUCAAGUGAUCGAUCCUCUUCCCUUGGCCUCCCG
Molecule: long non-coding RNA, 459 nt
Filed under: Pan troglodytes (chimpanzee)
Lineage: Eukaryota; Metazoa; Chordata; Mammalia; Primates; Hominidae
Description: long non-coding RNA NONPTRT010440
Source: RNAcentral